This 180-nucleotide ribosomal RNA is filed under the name Burkholderia cenocepacia. Its description in RNAcentral is "partial 23S ribosomal RNA". It matches the Rfam family "Bacterial large subunit ribosomal RNA", at positions 2757 to 2925 of the family's 2925-position model. The record is from RNAcentral. Lineage: Bacteria; Pseudomonadati; Pseudomonadota; Betaproteobacteria; Burkholderiales; Burkholderiaceae.
GGAAGAGAUAACCGCUGAAAGCAUCUAAGCGGGAAACUCGCCUUAAGAUGAGAUAUCCCUGGGGACUAGAUCCCCUUGAAGGGUCGUUCGAGACCAGGACGUUGAUAGGUCAGGUGUGUAAGCGCAGUAAUGCGUUCAGCUAACUGAUACUAAUUGCCCGUAAGGCUUGAUCCUAUAACA